UACGUAGGGGGCAAGCGUUGUCCGGAAUCAUUGGGCGUAAAGCGCGUGUAGGCGGCUCGAUAAGUCUGCUGUGAAAGUCCAGGGUUCAACCCUGGGAUGCCGGUGGAUACUGUCGGGCUCGAGUCCGGAAGAGGCGAGUGGAAUUCCUGGUGUAGCGGUGAAAUGCGCAGAUAUCAGGAGGAACACCAAUGGCGAAGGCAGCUCGCUGGGACGUGACUGACGCUGAGACGCGAAAGCGUGGGGAGCAAACAGG
This 253-nucleotide ribosomal RNA is filed under the name uncultured bacterium. Its description in RNAcentral is "partial 16S ribosomal RNA". It matches the Rfam family "Bacterial small subunit ribosomal RNA", at positions 524 to 776 of the family's 1533-position model. The record is from RNAcentral.